Molecule: transfer RNA, 73 nt
Filed under: Felis catus (domestic cat)
Lineage: Eukaryota; Metazoa; Chordata; Mammalia; Carnivora; Felidae
Also listed under: 3 other names
Rfam family: tRNA
About the family: Transfer RNA (tRNA) molecules are approximately 80 nucleotides in length. Their secondary structure includes four short double-helical elements and three loops (D, anti-codon, and T loops).
Source: Rfam by way of RNAcentral
GCCUGCCUGGCUCAGUUGGAAGAGCAUGAGGCUCUUGAUCUUGGGGUCAUGAGUUCAAGCCCCAUGUUGUGUA